RNAcentral lists this transfer RNA (87 nucleotides) under Gammaproteobacteria bacterium. Its description in RNAcentral is "tRNA-Leu". It matches the Rfam family "tRNA". From Rfam's summary of the family: Transfer RNA (tRNA) molecules are approximately 80 nucleotides in length. Their secondary structure includes four short double-helical elements and three loops (D, anti-codon, and T loops). The record is from RNAcentral. RNAcentral also lists the same sequence under 2 other names. Lineage: Bacteria; Pseudomonadati; Pseudomonadota; Gammaproteobacteria.
GCCGGGGUGGUGAAACUGGUAGACACGCCGGAUUCAAAAUCCGGUUCCUUCACGGGAGUGCCGGUUCGAUUCCGGCCCUCGGUACCA